RNAcentral lists this ribosomal RNA (779 nucleotides) under Rhipicephalus microplus (southern cattle tick). Its description in RNAcentral is "SSU rRNA". It matches the Rfam family "Eukaryotic small subunit ribosomal RNA", at positions 1009 to 1807 of the family's 1831-position model. The record is from RNAcentral. Lineage: Eukaryota; Metazoa; Arthropoda; Arachnida; Ixodida; Ixodidae.
GUGAUACCGCCUAGUUCUAACCAUAAACGAUGCCAACCAGCGAUCCGCCUGAGUUACUCAAAUGACUCGGCGGGCAGCUUCCGGGAAACCAAAGUAUUUGGGUUCCGGGGGAAGUAUGGUUGCAAAGCUGAAACUUAAAGGAAUUGACGGAAGGGCACCACCAGGAGUGGAGCCUGCGGCUUAAUUUGACUCAACACGGGAAAACUUACCCGGCCCGGACACUGGGAGGAUUGACAGAUUGAGAGCUCUUUCUUGAUUCGGUGGAUGGUGGUGCAUGGCCGUUCUUAGUUGGUGGAGCGAUUUGUCUGGUUAAUUCCGAUAACGAACGAGACUCUAGCCUAUUAAAUAGGUGCGGGGUUCCCAGCACCUUACAACCUUCUUAGAGGGACAAGCGGCUCCUAGCCGCACGAAACAGAGCAAUAACAGGUCUGUGAUGCCCUUAGAUGUCCGGGGCCGCACGCGCGCUACACUGAAGGAAGCAGCGUGUCUUUAUCCCUGUCUGAAAAGACUGGGUAACCCGUGGAACUUCUUUCGUGAUUGGGAUAGGGGCUUGCAAUUGUUCCCCUUGAACGAGGAAUUCCCAGUAAGCGCGAGUCAUAAGCUCGCGUUGAUUACGUCCCUGCCCUUUGUACACACCGCCCGUCGCUACUACCGAUUGAAUGAUUUAGUGAGGUCUUCGGACCGAUGUCCGGCGCGGCCUUUCGGUUGCGCCGGUCUGUUGGAAAGAUGACCAAACUUGAUCAUUUAGAGGAAGUAAAAGUCGUAACAAGGUUUCCGUA